Molecule: long non-coding RNA, 1717 nt
Organism: Austrofundulus limnaeus
Lineage: Eukaryota; Metazoa; Chordata; Actinopteri; Cyprinodontiformes; Rivulidae
Exons: 3
Source: RefSeq, a predicted model, not a curated record
GUUCAGAGUUGAUUUUAACUCCUGAAGUGUUAUUUUAACACUUUCUGUGUUAGCUGACAGCCAGUGUUAGAGCUGAUUUCAGCAGUGUUGUCUGAACUCUGGAGAGAGUUAAAUAAGCUCCAAAAUUUUAACACRAACAGUGAAAGAAAAUAACACAAUUGUGAGUUAAAAGUGCACUUAUACAGUGUCAUAAAAAACCACCAAUGGGUGUCAAAUACUUGACACUUUAAAAGUGUUAAAUAUCAACACUUUUCAAAGUGUAAUUUUAACUCAGAAUCUGUGAGUAGUGUAGCAGGAACGUAAGAAAACAGUUCCACACAAGAACUUCCUCCUCUUCCCAUACUAUAGAGAACAAUGGCUUUCUCCACUGUCUACAAAUGCUAAAAUAAACAGGAACUGCAAACUUCCGUUGAUUAAGCCCUGUUGUGAGACCCCUUUUAAGUGUUCAAAAUGGCCGUUUAUAACAAAGGACCCACCAUUUGCCCAGACGGAAAGUCUCCAGAAGUGGGUUUACAAUCCACACAUAGACCCUAGCAGACUGUGUCCCUUGCUGAGAUAAUGCCCACGAACUAUCUUCAAAGACAUACAAUCUCAUUUAUGGUCUUAGAGCGCCCCUAAAGGCUYGUCUCAUAAUCACAUCAUGAGCAAAUGUUUUUCUGGGUAAAUUUCUGUUGUUUGGUUGUCUGAUAAAAAAAAGAAAAAAAAAGAAACAAUGUAUUUUUCUAUCAUGCCUCAAUCACUGUGAUAAUAUCUUGAUUUAAUCACUGUACAGGUAACCACGUCAAUCUGUGUUUUGUUCAAUCAUUUUAGAAGCAGAACCGUGAUCUCAGUGAAGCAGGUGACACCCCAUGUGACUUCUCUCUCAGCCAAUCAGAAGUUUGUAAAGUCAGGACAAGAGAUAACAUUUUUAGUAUUUCAAGAGGGUUUAGAAACAGCAGCCAGAGAGAACGGACCAGGAGUUUCAGGUUCCUUCAUUCCCUUCGGGGACAUUUAUUUUAAUUUUAAUUUCUUUUUUAGUUUAAUUUUUGUAGCGUAGGGACGCGAUUUGUUCGGGAAACUGAACUGACCAGAACUUCGGUCCGAACCAUCUAGACCCGAACCGACUUCCUCAUCUGUAGCUUGAAGCCGACCCCAGACAGCCUCGGCGUGUCCAGCUGUACCCGAACGGGACCCCCUUUGAGACCGAGCAGCACCGGUGACCAUCCUCGCUCAGAUCUCCUGGACUCAGAAGGAAGAGCUGGGUGGAGGUCCACCUGUGCCCCCUCAGGAUCAACAGCUGUGCACAGCUGCAUCACCGAGGAGGUGUGAACCAGCAUGUUGGACAAAAUCUGCAGACGUCAGCACAAGUUGUGUGAACACUGUAAUGUGACAGGGCCUGUGGUGACAACACACUAGUUCUGAAAUUCUCCCUCUAAAACAUCUCAACACGGUCUUUUUAAAGUCUGGGUAAGUGUAAUGUCUAAGAGUGGGGGCCUCUUCUCAGGAAUGCACAGAUGUGUUACGUCUCUUAGUUCUCCAGCUUCAGAUCUCGGCACAUUACCAUAUUAGGGAAAGGAAUGCUUAAGGUAUACCGUGACAAAAUUUAUGGUACAUCUGUUGAACUACACUGUGAGGCCUAUAAAGAGCCUUGCACGCCCCCACCCUUGGCCUUCGUUCUUCAUCUUUCUUACUUGGUGAAUCAUUUGGCUUGGAGGCCACAAUUUGGUUUUUGGCUGUA